AGGCCCUCAACCCGAAGUUUAGAAUCAAGUUUGAGACCAAAAAAGAAGGCCCCCAGAUGAGACAGGAUUGUUCCCUUCACCUUAACCCCCUUCGUGGGCGGGAACUGGAGCAGCUCAUUUCACUCAUCUCGCCUCCUGCCAUCCUGGCGGCAGAGCGUGCGAGUGCGGGAACCGGAGCGAGCGAAUGCUGGAACCGGCCGGUCACUCCUCUCUGGCGGGAAUAGGCUCUGUGCGGGCCUCACAGCAGCGUCCAAGCCCUGGCCUCUCGGCACCGGGGUGCCUGUCCGGCGUCCAGGAAGAAUUAGGUCAUAUGAACGGAUUGAAGAGUAGUGUAUGCGGAGGAUUUGAUUGAGUGGUGGCUCCUGGUGGGAUGGGAACUGGAAAGCAGACGGUGAAAGAGGGUCAUCUUUCCCUGAAGCCGCACCAUCUGAAGUUAGCUGCGUCUAUCUGUAGUCUUCAACACUCUUGCUGCUUCUCUGCUCACCGCUCAGCCGCUUGUGUUGCUCUGCCAGCUGAAGUCUUUUUUAUGGCCACAGGAUAGGGGCGUGGCAGGCCAAAAAAACAACAUUUGGGUAGAAAAACAGGGUCAGCUGUUUUCAAGGCCGUGAUUCCAGGCUUAAGGGUGGGGUUUAGCUGGGAGCCCAGCCAUUCUGUAUCAGUGAUAGUUGCACAACUAUAAAUAUACUAACAACCAUUGAAUUGUGUACUUUAAAUAGAUUAACCAUAUGAUAUAUGAAUUACAUCUCAGUAAAGUUGUUUUUUAAAAAAUAUGCAUAUACCUUAGUCUAGCCGUUCCAGGUCAUAUACUACAGCGAUAGUAACAAAGAUAUAAUAUGUGGUUUAUAAUAAUAAAUAUUGGAAAUACUUAAUCUUGCAAGUGCAUGAUCAGUAAGGUAGUGGAGGCAAAAACUAGGUUUCCCAGGAGCUUCAGGCUUCUCAACUUCCGAGUAGUAAUCUCAAGGAAGUAUGUACUCUGACUAAAACUGUUUAUGUCACAGACCUACUCCUUAGACCAAUCACUGUUCCCAUAGAGAUAGCUCAUUAUGAUUUGUGGAGUCAGAAUCAUGUGCCCACUGCUGAAAUCAGGAAUUCAGGGUCCUAGGAGAGUCACCCGUGCCACCCACCUAAUGUUUUCUGGAAGUUUGACUUUAAAAGGAAGAAGACAGCAAGAGAUCAAUAUAGCUAGAGUGUGGAGAUGAGGUGUUUUCUUUAAAAUAGAGGUGACUUGAACACGUUUAAAUGCUUGUGCAAAGUAGCCAAUAUAGAGGGAGCAGUUAAAGACACAAAAGAAAUAGAACAUUUCUAAUCAAUAGAUCUCAGGAAAUUAUUAUUUCC
This 1335-nucleotide long non-coding RNA is filed under the name Pan troglodytes (chimpanzee). Its description in RNAcentral is "long non-coding RNA NONPTRT011703". The record is from RNAcentral. Lineage: Eukaryota; Metazoa; Chordata; Mammalia; Primates; Hominidae.